Molecule: ribosomal RNA, 353 nt
Filed under: uncultured bacterium
Lineage: Bacteria
Description: bacterial SSU rRNA
Rfam family: Bacterial small subunit ribosomal RNA
Source: RNAcentral
ACAGAUCGUUCUAGAGUUUGAUCCUGGCUCAGGAUGAACGCUGGCGGCGUGCCUAACACAUGCAAGUCGAACGGGACUAUCUUGAGAUGUUUUCGGACUGAUCUUUAUAGUUUAGUGGCGGACGGGUGAGUAACGCGUGGACAACCUGCCUUUCACAGGGGGAUAGCAGCUGGAAACGGCUGGUAAUACCGCAUACGCUCGUGUCACCGCAUGGUGAUGCGAGGAAAGAUUUAUCGGUGAAAGAUGGAUCCGCGUCUGAUUAGCCAGUUGGCGGGGUAACGGCCCACCAAAGCGACGAUCAGUAGCCGGCCUGAGAGGGCGGACGGCCACAUUGGGACUGAGACACGGCCCAG